RNAcentral lists this ribosomal RNA (253 nucleotides) under uncultured bacterium. RNAcentral's name for it is "partial 16S ribosomal RNA". It matches the Rfam family "Bacterial small subunit ribosomal RNA", at positions 524 to 776 of the family's 1533-position model. The record is from RNAcentral.
UACGGGGGGGGCAAGCGUUGUUCGGAAUUACUGGGCGUAAAGGGCUCGUAGGUGGCCAACUAAGUCAGACGUGAAAUCCCUCGGCUUAACCGGGGAACUGCGUCUGAUACUGGAUGGCUUGAGGUUGGGAGAGGGAUGCGGAAUUCCAGGUGUAGCGGUGAAAUGCGUAGAUAUCUGGAGGAACACCGGUGGCUAAGGCGGCUCUCUAGUACGGUACUGACGCUGAGACGCGAAAGCGUGGGGAGCGAACAGG